UACGAACCGUGCAAACGUUGUUCGGAUUCACUGGGCUUAAAGGGCGCGUAGGCGGGUGGUCAAGUCAGGGGUGAAAUCCUCCAGCUCAACUGGAGAACAGCUUUUGAUACUGGCCAUCUUGAGGGAGGUAGGGGCAUGUGGAACUUCCGGUGGAGCGGUGAAAUGCGUAGAUAUCGGGAGGAACAUCAGUUGCGAAGGCGGCUCUCUGGACCAGUACUGACGCUGAGGCACGAAAGCGUGGGGAGCAAACAGG
Molecule: ribosomal RNA, 253 nt
Filed under: uncultured bacterium
Lineage: Bacteria
Description: partial 16S ribosomal RNA
Rfam family: Bacterial small subunit ribosomal RNA
Source: RNAcentral